UCGAGAAUCAUUCGCAAUGGGCGAAAGCCUGACGAUGCGACGCCGUGUGAGCGAAGAAGGCCUUCGGGUUGUAAAGCUCUUUCGCUUGGGAACGUGUACCAGGUAAAGAAGCACCGGCUAACUCCGUGCCAGCAGCUGCGGUAAUACGGAGGGUGCAAGCAUUAAUCGGAAUUAUUGGGCGUAAAGGGCGCGUAGGCGGAGGCAUAAGUCAGAUGUGAAAUCCCGGGGCUCAACCUCGGAACAGCAUUUGAAACUGUGCCCCUUGAGGGUAGGCGGAGAAAACGGAAUUCCACAAGUAGCGGUGAAAUGCGUAGAUAUGUGGAAGAACACCGGUGGCGAAAGCGGUUUUCUAGCUUAUUCCUGACGCUGAGGCGCGAAAGCAAGGGGAUC
Molecule: ribosomal RNA, 390 nt
Filed under: uncultured bacterium
Lineage: Bacteria
Description: bacterial SSU rRNA
Rfam family: Bacterial small subunit ribosomal RNA
Source: RNAcentral